This 253-nucleotide ribosomal RNA is filed under the name uncultured bacterium. RNAcentral describes it as "partial 16S ribosomal RNA". It matches the Rfam family "Bacterial small subunit ribosomal RNA", at positions 524 to 776 of the family's 1533-position model. The record is from RNAcentral.
UACGUAGGGACCGAGCGUUGUCCGGAAUCAUUGGGCGUAAAGAGCGUGUAGGCGGCCUUUUAAGUCCUGCGUGAAAUCCUGCGGCUCAACCGCAGACGGUCGUGGGAAACUGGAAGGCUAGAGUGCGGGAGAGGAGAGUGGAAUUCCCGGUGUAGCGGUGAAAUGCGCAGAUAUCAGGAGGAACACCGGUGGCGAAGGCGGGUCUCUGGGCAGUAACUGACGCUGAGGAGCGAAAGCGUGGGGAGCGAACAGG